Molecule: long non-coding RNA, 2838 nt
Filed under: Brassica napus (rape)
Lineage: Eukaryota; Viridiplantae; Streptophyta; Magnoliopsida; Brassicales; Brassicaceae
Description: long non-coding RNA (BNAP_LNC026815)
Source: RNAcentral
AAUCUCAUUAUCCUUAAUCCUUAAUACAUUUAAAUCCCAAAUACCCUUAGUUUUAUACGGCUAAUUUCAUAUACCUUCUAAGGAUUAUUCUAAACCAAACGCUCCUAAGCAUUAUUCUAAACCAAACCCUAAACCCAACCUAAACCAAACGCAAAACCUUUUUUACUACCUAGACCCUAAAUUCUACCUAACCCUAAACCCUACCUAAACCUAGACCUUAACCCUAUCUAACCCUAACCCCUACAUAAACCUAACCCUAAUACCUAAACCCUUCCUACUACCUAAACCCUAAACUUAUCUAACCGUAAACCUACCUAACCUUAACCCUAAACCUUAUUUAACCCUAAACCCUACCUAACCCUAAACACUACCUAACCCUAAAACCUAACCCUAAACCCUACCUAACCCUAACCCUAAACCCUACCUAACCCUAACCCUACUAACCCUACCUAACCCAAAACCUUUCUAACCCUAAACCUUUUCUAGCCCUAAACCCUACCUAUUCCUAAACCCUACCUAACCCUAAACCCUAUCUAAUUCUAAACCCUACUUAACCCUAAACCCUACCUAACCCUAAACCCUACCUACCCUAAACCCUUUCUAACUCUAAACCCUUUCUAACCCUAAACCCUACCUAACCCUAAACCCCUUCUAACCCUAAACCUGACCUAACUCUAAACCCUGCCUAACCCUAAACCCUACCUAACCCUAAACCCUUUCAAACCCUAAACCCUGCCUAACCCUAAACCCUUUCUAACCCUAACCCUUUCUAGCCCUAAACCCUACCAACCCUAAACCCUUUCUAACCCUAAACCAUGCUAACCCUAAACCCUACCUAACCCUAACCCUACAUAACCCUAAACCCUACAUAACCCUAAACCCUACCAACCCUAAACCCUUUCUAACCCUAAACCAUGCUAACCCUAAACCCUACCUAACCCUAACCCUACAUAACCCUAAACCCUACAUAACCCUAAACCCUACACCCUACUAACCUAAACCCUACUAACUCUAAACCCUACAAACCCUAAAUCCUACCUAAUUCCAAACCCUACCUAACCCUAAAUCCUACCUAACCCUAAACCCUACCUAUUAACCCUAAACCUUACCUAACCCUAAAUCCUAUCGAAUCCUAAACCCUACUAACCCUAAACCCUACUAACCUAAACCCUACUAACUCUAAACCCUACAAACCCUAAAUCCUACCUAAUUCCAAACCCUACCUAACCCUAAAUCCUACCUAACCCUAAACCCUACCUACUAACCCUAAACCUUACCUAACCCUAAAUCCUAUCGAAUCCUAAACCCUACUAACCCUAAACCCUACUAACCUAAACCUUACUAACUCUAAACCCUACUAACCCUAAAUCCUACCUAAUUCCAAACCCUACCUAACCCUAAAUCCUACCUAACCCUAAACCCUACCUAUCCUAAACCCUACCAAACCCUAAACCCUACCUAGCCCUAAACCCUACUAACCCUAAACCCUACCAACCCUAAACCCUACCAACCCUAAACCCUAUCUAUCCCUAAAUCCUAUUAACCCUAAACCUUACCUAACCUUAAAGCCUACUUACCCUAAACCCUUUUUAACCCUAAACCCUUUCUAACCCUAUACCUUUCCUAACCCUAAACUCUGCCUAACCCUAAAAACCCUACCUAACCCUAACCAUUUCUAACCCUAAACCCUACCUAACCCUAAACCCUACCUAACCCUAAACCCUACUAACCCUAUCUAAUUAUAAACCCUACCUAACUCUAAACCCUACCUAACUCUAAACCCUACCUAACCCUAAACCCUACCUACCCGAAACCCUACCUAACCCUAAACUCUACCUAACCCUAAACCCUACCUAGCCCUAAACCCUACUAACCCUAAACCCUACCUAACCCUAAACCGUACCAACCCUAAACCCUACCUAACUAUAAACCCUACUAACCCUAAAUCCUACAUAUCCCUAAACCCUACCUACUCUAAACCCUUUUAACCCAAAACCCUACCUAACCGUAAACCCUUCCUAACCCAAAACUCUGUCUAACCCUAAAACCCUACCUAACCUAAACCAUUUCUAACCUUAAACCCUACCUAACCCUAAACCCUGUCCAAACCUAACCCUAAAACCCUACAUAAACCUAACCAUAAAUCCUAUCUAAAGCUAAAACUCUACCAACCCUAAACACUAAAAAAUAAUCUCAAAACUUAAAACCUAACCCUAAACCCUACCUAACCCUAACCCUAAACCCUACCUAACCCUAACCCUAAACCCUACCUAACCCUAACCCUACUAACCCUACCUAACCCAAAACCUUUUCUAGCCCUAAACCCUACCUAUUCCUAAACCCUACCUAACCCUAAACCCUUUCUAAUUCUAAACCCUACUUAACCCUAAACCCUACCUAACCCUAAACCCUACCUACCCUAAACCCUUUCUAACUCUAAACCCUUUCUAACCCUAAACCCUACCUAACCCUAAACCCCUUCUAACCCUAAACCUGACCUAACUCUAAACCCUGCCUAACCCUAAACCCUACCUAACCCUAAACCCUUUCAAACCCUAAACCCUGCCUAACCCUAAACCCUUUCUAACCCUAACCCUUUCUAGCCCUAAACCCUACCAACCCUAAACCCUUUCUAACCCUAAACCAUGCUAACCCUAAACCCUACCUAACCCUAACCCUACAUAACCCUAAACCCUACUAACCCUAAACCUGACCUAACCCUAAAACCUGCCUAACCCUAAACCCUACAGAACCCUAAACCCUUUCUAACCCUAAACCCUUUCUAGCCCUAAACCCUACCAACCCUAAACCCUUUCUAACCCUAAACCUUGCUAACCC